GCUCUGGGCCGCCCGGGGUCACCGAGAACUCGCACGGGCAAGCGGGCGCGGCUUGCUCCCAGGCCUGGCCUUAGUGAGCUUGCUUAACUUUCCUUAGUUUUCCAGACCGGAAGGCCGCGUGUAAUACUUCUCGGGUUUGGGAGAAUUACAUGAGAGAAUGAUGUGAACAACAAUAAGUGCUAUUUGUCGAGUGCUUCCUUUGGGACUGGUAUUGUUAACCACUUAACACAGAAGCUCAUUCAUUCGCUCAUUCAUUCAAUACAUGAUUAUUGAUUGCAUGCUGUGUAUCAAUACUGCACGGCGCUGGAGAUGAACGCUCACCCCUAGACCAGGGUGCUGGUAACCGUCUGCAGAAAGUCAUGCCCAGCUGAGCAGUCAGUGUGAUCUUACAGAAGAUGGUACAGCCUUCAAGCCUUAGUGGGCACAAGAACCCUGUGGACCUGCUCAGGAGACCACACGGCAGAACCCUGGGAACUCUCAGAAGCAGCUGGCAGAUUAACCCUGAGCUAACAUCUGCCACCAAUCCUUCUCUUUUUGCUGAGGAAGACUGGCCCUGAGCUGACAUCCGUGCCCAUCUUCCUCUACUUUAUAUGUGGGACGCCUACCACAACAUGGCUUGACAAGUAGUGAGUAGGUCCAUACCUGGAAUCGGAACUGGCAAACCCCGGACCGUCAAAGCAGAAUGUGCAAACUUAACUGCUGCGCCACAGGGCUGGGCCCCACAUUCUUUUUUAAAAUUGUGAAAUAUGUCAUAUAUACAUGAGUAUACAUGUAUAAAAUGUAAACACAUAAGUUAAAGAAAAAUUAUCAAGUGAACAUUGAGUAUCUACUGUUCAGGUUGCAAAAUAAAACAUUGUCAAUACUUGGAAGCUCCUGUGUGCCUUCACCUGAACAUAUCCCUUUCCUUUUCCCGAGAGGUAACAGUCAUAUUUACUUUUAUCAAAUCAUUCUCUUGCUGUGUUUUAUAUUUACACAACCUAUGUAUGCAUCCCUAAUGACAAAUUGUUUAUUUUUGUCUAUUUUUGAACUCUAUAUAAUGGAAUCAUAUUAUAUAUGUUCAGUUUUUACUUGCUUCUGUCACUCAAAAAUAAUUUGUGAGAUUCACUCAUGCUGCUAAGUGUCUAUUUUCAUUUUGUAUGGUAUUCCAUCGUUUGAAUAUAUCACAAUUUAUUUAUCCACACUACUGUAAUAGAUAUCUUAGUUAUCUCCAGUUUUUGUAUAUUAUAAACCAAAUUGCCAAGAAUGUUAUUAUACAUGAUUCUUUGUACACAUACGCAAGAAUUUUUCUAGGGCAUUUACCCAGGAGUAGAAUUCCUUGAGAGUAGAGUAUGAGUGUAAUCAACUCUACUAGGUAUUGCUAAACAAUUUUUCUAAAGAAAUUGUGCCAACUAACACUUCUACUAAUGUUAACUAAUAGUUGGUAUUGUCAGAUUUGCUGUUUAAAUUUGCGUUUCCCUGAUUACUAAUGAAAUUGAGCAUCUUUUCUUAUUUGUAUUAGCGAUUGAGUUUCCUCAUUUGUGAAGUUCCUGUUCAAGUUAUGUACCCAUUUUUCUAGUAGGUUAUAUAUCUUUUCCUGUUGUUUUGUAGUUCUUUCUAUAUUCUGUAUAGUAGUUCUUUGUCAGUAUUUGUAUUACAAACCUUUGCCUAAUUUGUGAUUUUUUAAAUUCUCUUUAUCAUGUCUAUUAUUGAACAGAAGUUCUUAAUUUUUUUAGAAGUUCUUAAUUUUAAUGUAACCAAAUAUAUAAAUAUUUUCCUUUAUGUUUUAUGCCUUUUGUACCUUAUUUCAGAAUUUUUCCUAUAAAGAGCAUAAUACUUUUUGCAUCUUGUUUAAAAAAUUCCCCCUUAUGCAAAGAUCUUAAGGAUAUUUUCCUAUAUUUACUUAUAAAUAUUUACUUUUUUUUACACAUUUAGGUCUUUAGUUCACCUGAAAUUGAUUUUUGUGUAUUAUGUGAGGUGGGAAGUCAAAAUUUUUUUAUCCCUGUAUGGGUAACCAGUUUUCUCAGCAUCAUUUAUUAACAUUCAUCUUUUACUCACUGAUCUAUAACGUGGCCGUUGUUGUAAGGUUUCCUUAUAUGUGGGUUACUGGGGGCUUCCUGCUCUGACCCUACGGUAAUGUCUUAAUCACCAUAGGUUUAUAAUUAGCCUGAGAUUCUAGGGUAAGUGCCCUGUACCUCGUUCUUCUUCAAAAUUGUCUUGUUUGUUGGUUUGGCUUGGUUUUUCUUUAUACAUUUUAGAAUCAGCUUUAAAAGUUUCAUGAAAUGCUCUCAUUAUUUUUAAAAAUUGCUUUAAAUUUAUGGAUUAAUUUGUGGGAAAUUGACAUUUUCAGAAUAUUGAAUCUACUUAUCCAUAAAUGUGGUAUAGGUCUCUGUUUAGAAAAUUACAGAUUUUUCAUAAAAAUCUUACAUAUAUUCUUAAGAUUUGUUUCUAUGUAUCUGUGUCAGAUAUCUUCUCUAUGUCCACUCUUCAGUGUUCACCAUUUUGUUCUCUACUCUGGGAGGCUGACCUGUAUGGACUACAUCCAUGGCCUCCUAUGAUCUCGGGUUCUAUUGGGUUCAGCUAAUAGGGUGCCCCAGCUAUAGAUCAGAGAGAAGGAGGAGAGUGAAGUCAGGGUAUUGUUGAUUCCUCCUGCUCCCACAAGGUUGCCUUAAGUUGGCUAUUUCCCUCUACUGAAGGUUACUUCUCUCAAAGUGGUAAGACUCUCUUUCCUUCUUAGUCCCUCCCUUCAUCCCUUUGGACAAAGAGUCAUAAUAAUUUCUUAUGGAGCAAAGAGUAGAAGUCCAAAAGUCCAGGUAAUGGACAAUAAGGAUUAUUUAAGGUUUGUGGCCUGGAAGAAGAAGGAAGACAUGUUUAGUAAGUAUGAGAUGGUGACAUUUUUUCAUGUGCUAUAGGAACAUCAGGAGAAAUAAAGACUGUGAAAAGCCUUUUAAAAAAAUAACCAACAUGAAAUUAUUGAGCACAAACUAUAUGCCUUGCUCUGUGAUAGGUGCUUUACAUAUUUUAUCUCACUUAAUUCCUAUGAUAAUCUUAUGAGAUAGAUUUUGUUAUCCCUAUUUCACAGGUGAGAUUUUAAAGAUGCUUUCUCAAGGUCACGAGCUAGUUAAUAAGGAGUAGAAUCAGAAUUUUAACCUAGGUCUACUUGAAUCCAAAGCCCAUUCUAUUAAUUACCUUGCUAUUCUGUCACAUUAUACCAUUAAAUUAACAAUCAGGAGAUUAUGUCCUUUCAGAGUGGAGUUUUGGUUAAGCGAUCAGGAUGCAGUUUCAGAGGAGUGAUCAGGCUGGAUCAUCUCAAGAGGUUAAGGAAUGAAGUGGCAAAGAAAUAAAGAUGGCAGUGGCAUAGCAGCUAUUUGAUUAGUAGUAAAAGAUUGGAGAUGAAUAGUAUUGAUUGCUAGAAGUCCCAUAUUUCUAAAAAGUCUAUGUCACACAAAGUCUGACCUUUCUCAUCGUGAGAUAUACUCAGCUGGCCCUCUCUGAGGAGUUCUACUCUGUUAUUCCAAUAGUGAUGCCCCAGUUCGACAGGGCUUUCCCCUCCUCAUAGGAAAAAAAGAAGCUAGACAAGCUUCUUGGAGACAGAGCAUCUCAUUCAUCUCUGUAUUCCAACCACAGAGCCUGGUAUGCUUUCAACCAAACAUUGUGAUUUGGGCUGUAUGAUCUGGGUCUUGCUGCAGGGCCUGUUUAUCCUCAUUAACAUUAAUACAGUGCUGUCUUCCAGGUCACCUUGUGCCAGCAACACAGAAAAAGAUAUUAAUGUCUGCCAUUCUCCUGCCUUUCCUUCAUAACAGCUCUGCCACCUAAUACUUAAGCACAGACAGGUGCCAUUUGAUAAAACACUUAUAAGAAGGUUACGGGAAAAAUCAGCUUUAACCUUAGAUCAGCAACUCUCAAAAGAGAAACCAUUGCUAUCACAGGAAGCAAAGAAAUUCUCUGAGGAUAGUAGUAAAAAUGUACAGUGAAAACUAAGACCAAGAUUGCUGGUGAACAGGUAAUGGAAUAAGUAACUAGAAGCCAUUUUCCC
This is a long non-coding RNA of Equus asinus (donkey), 4012 nucleotides long. Lineage: Eukaryota; Metazoa; Chordata; Mammalia; Perissodactyla; Equidae. The record is from Ensembl.